CAUUAGGUGGAGGACUUGGCUCAAGACGCUGAUGAAGGGCGUGUCAAGCUACGAAAUGUUCCGGCGAGGUGCAUGAAGCCUUUGAACCGGAAAUUCCUGAAUGGGACUUCCUGACAUUAGUCAUCCUGAGAAGGAGAGGAACCUAGGGAAUUGAAGCGUCUUAGUACCUAGAGGAAAAGAAAUCAAUAGAGAUGCCGUGAGUAAGGGCGACUGAAAACGGCACAGAGCAAACCGAAUCUUUUACAGAAAUGUAAAAGAGAUGUGGGGUUGUAGGACUUUCUUUUAACCUUAACUUGAAAACUUGAAGUCUUCUGGAACGAAGUGCCAUAGAGGGUGAUAGCCCCGUAAGGUGAUCAAGAAAGGUGUGAAAGUAUCCUGAGUAGUGCAUCUUGGAUAUGAUGUAUGAAGCUGGGAGGCAUCAACUUCCAACUCUAAAUACGUCUUGAGUCCGAUAGCGAACAGUACCGUGAGGGAAUGUUGAAAAGAACUCUUGCCAGAGAGUUAAAAGACCCCUAAACCUAAUGGUGAUAGAGUGAUACGGCUUUUCGGAGUUGUAUCGUACGUUUCGAAUAAUGGGCCAGGGAGUGUAUCUAAGUGGCGAGGGUAAGAGUGUAUAGCUCGCACCCACAGGGAAACCGAGACUCCGCAGUUUACGAGGGAGGAGGUAUGAAAGUGCCAAUAGUCACUUGGGUACGACCCGAAACCGGUCGAUCUAGUCCUGGGUAAGAUGAAGCGAAGCAUAAGCUUCGUGGAGGUCUGAAGAGUUGCUGUGGGCAUACGUUCUUCUAACCUGGGACUAGGGGUGAAAAGCCAAUCGAGAUCGGUAAUAGCUGGUUCCUACCGAAUCGGGCCGUAGUCCGGUCUCCGCGGAGAUAACUGAGAAGGUAGAGCUACGGAUUGGGGAGCUCGGGGGAGAAAUCCUUCACUUCCUUGUCCAACUCCAAAUGUCUUAGUAUCGUAGAUGCGGGGAAACAGCGGCACUGGGGUAAGCUUGUGUCGCGAGAGGGGAACAACCCAAACUACAGUUAAGGUCCCAAAGUAUUAGUUAAGUGUUAAAGGGUGAACGGUGUUCAACACCAUAGACAGCGGGGAGGUUUGCUUAGAAGCAGCAAUCCUUUAAAGAAAGCGUAACAGCUCACCUGUCAAGGUCUUGUGCCCGGAAAAUGGACGGGGCUAAACUAAUCACCGAUACUGUAGGCUGCUUUCCUUUGGAAAGUAUGCGGUAGGUAGGCGUUCUGUUAGGGUAGAAGUAUGAGCGUAAGUUCAUAUGGACCUUGCAGAAAUGAGAAUCCUGGCGGUAGUAGGAUCUAUAUAGAGUGAGACUCUCUAAUGCCGGAAGGGCUAGGGUUUCUUAGCAAUGUAGAUCAGCUAAGAGUAAGUUAGUCCUAACCAAAAUCGUAACUCGAUUUAGGGAAAGGGAAAAAGGUUAAGAUUCCUUUACUAUCUAAGUACGUGCGGCAACGCAAGGCAUAUUGUUGACGCAUCCGGCUAGGCCGACAUUGAUCGUCGUCAAUGUUAACCAAGAUAGGUCUGUGGAGUAUCGUAAUGAUGAGAAACAGAGCAAACUUGGGAAUAGCAGGCAUUUGUCUGUUCGGCUGAGGCCAGGUGCCCGUGAAAAGACAAUAUGCAAGGAUCUUAGAUAACUAUACCAAGAACCAGCACUGGUGCCCCUAGGUGAGGAGCCUAAGGCAUGAGGGAACAAACUGGCUUAGGGAAAUCGACAGAUUGGCCCCGUCUCUUCGGUAGAAGGGGUCCCUGCGAUCGUAUCUGCAUAGGUGCGAUUACAGGGUGCAAUAACUAGGGCGGUCCGACUGUUUAACAAAAACUUAACAUCUCGCUAGCCUGCAAAGGUGUGUAUGGGAUGUGACAUCUGCCCAGUGCCUGUACUUCAAACUCCAGUCCAAUGGAGCUAAGAGCAGGUAAACGGCGGGAAUAACUAUAAUUCUCUUAAGGUAGCUAAAUGCCUUGUCGUUUAAAUGACGACCUGCAUGAAUGGUGUAACGAGAUCGCUAUUGUCCCAAGCUAGUGUCCCCCGAACACAACAUUCUGGUGCAAAGUCCAGAGAUCUCCAGUGGGAAGCGAAGACCCCGUAGAACUUUACUGUAGCUUGUUGUUGUGGUGUGAGUUUGGUUGUGCAGCGUAGGUAGGAGUUGCUAAAGCUUGGGCGCUAGCUCAAGUGUAGACGCCGAUGAGACACUACCCUUCUGAAUUUACAUCACUCACUUUGCGUAGGCAAAGGACAGCAGUAGGUGGACAGUUUGCCUGGGGCGGGACCCUGCUGAAAAGGUAUCAGUAGGGCCCAAAGGUUGACUCAUCCGGUUUAGAAAUCCGGAGGAGAGUGCAAGAGCAAAAGUCAGCCUGACUGUGUUCCCAAAAGUACGGAACGCAGGGACGAAAGUCGGGUCUAGCGAACCUCUAAAUCCUCAUUGAUGGGGGUUAGAGAUGACAGAAAAGCUAUCUCGGGGAUAACUGAGUUGUCGCGCCUAAGAGCUCAUAUCGACGGCGCGGCUUGCUACUUCGAUGUCGGCUCAUCCUAUCCUGGGCGUGCAGAAGCGCCCAAGGGUGGGGGUGUUCACCCAUUAAAAGGGUUCGUGAGCUGGGUUAAGAACGUUGUGAGACAGUUUGUAUGAUAUCUACUGGAGAUGUUUAAGAUCUGAGAGGAAGGACCAUUUAGUACGAGAGGAACGGUGGUUCGAGGCCACUGGUCUAUCGGUUGUCCGGCAGGGCAGGCCGAGCAGCUACGCCUUACGUCAUUAGGGCUGAAAGCAUCUAAGCCCGAAGGACCCCUCGAAAAGAGAUCUAGAGCACCUGUAUAAGACAGGUUUGAUGGGACUGGAGUGUAAGUGC
This 2847-nucleotide ribosomal RNA is filed under the name Candidatus Woesearchaeota archaeon. RNAcentral's name for it is "bacterial LSU rRNA". It matches the Rfam family "Archaeal large subunit ribosomal RNA". Lineage: Archaea; Nanobdellati; Candidatus Woesearchaeota. The record is from RNAcentral.